UACGUAGGGGGCAAGCGUUGUCCGGAUUUAUUGGGCGUAAAGAGCGUGUAGGCGGCCAGGUAGGUCCGUUGUGAAAACUCGAGGCUCAACCUCGAGCUGUCGAUGGAAACCAUCUGGCUAGAGUCCGGAAGAGGAGAGUGGAAUUCCUGGUGUAGCGGUGAAAUGCGCAGAUAUCAGGAAGAACACCAAUGGCGAAAGCAGCUCUCUGGGACGGUACUGACGCUGAGACGCGAAAGCGUGGGGAGCGAACAGG
This 253-nucleotide ribosomal RNA is filed under the name uncultured bacterium. RNAcentral describes it as "partial 16S ribosomal RNA". It matches the Rfam family "Bacterial small subunit ribosomal RNA", at positions 524 to 776 of the family's 1533-position model. The record is from RNAcentral.